UGCUGGUGACCUAUUCCCUUUGACGAUCCCUAGGUGGAGAUGGGGCAUGAGGAUCCUCCAGGGGAAUGGCUCACCACCACUAGGCAACAGGCCUAGCCCAGAUUUCAAUGAGACACUUUCUCGAAUCCAGCAAGAUAGACAAAGGCUCAAAGAAUGCCACCCUACAUCAAACUUCUUUUGUUCUUUGUAGUGUCAUCUACCAAACAUUACCCUUCCCCAAAGCAGCACAGAAAACUGGGUCUUCAGCACGAUCAAGAAAUGUGAACACACAGAAGGAAGGAAGCUUUAUAUACGACCCGAAGAUCCACAUGCCUGACUGCAGCAUCUUAAAAGCAAUAGAAUGAGGUAA
This 349-nucleotide long non-coding RNA is filed under the name Mus pahari (shrew mouse). RNAcentral describes it as "inactive X specific transcripts (MGP_PahariEiJ_G0006497.1)". The stretch from base 1 to 95 matches the Rfam family "X-chromosome inactivation gene exon 4", at positions 32 to 126 of the family's 126-position model. The record is from RNAcentral. Lineage: Eukaryota; Metazoa; Chordata; Mammalia; Rodentia; Muridae.